UCAAAUCUGACUAGUAUUCUUGUAAGAUAACCGACAUGUAACCCUGCUCCCCGGUAUAUAAGGGCGGGCAGGGACCCCUUCUAGACAAGUUCAAUCCAAGAAAAGCAAACAACACAUAGGACAUAGGGUAUUACACGAUCUAGUGGCCCAAACCUGUCUAAAUUGCAUGCCUACGUAUACCAUCGAGUUCCUAAUUUUGAUGACACCCACCAACCAAAACUCUACCUCAGGUACUCCCUUGGUAGGUUACAAGAUUU
Molecule: long non-coding RNA, 257 nt
Filed under: Setaria viridis
Lineage: Eukaryota; Viridiplantae; Streptophyta; Magnoliopsida; Poales; Poaceae
Description: long non-coding RNA (SVIR_LNC010841)
Source: RNAcentral